GACGAACGCUGGCGGCGUGCUUAACACAUGCAAGUCGAACGGAAAGGCCCUGCUUUUGUGGGGUGCUCGAGUGGCGAACGGGUGAGUAACACGUGAGUAACCUGCCCUUGACUUUGGGAUAACUUCAGGAAACUGGGGCUAAUACCGGAUAGGAGCUCCUGCUGCAUGGGGGGGGUUGGAAGGUUUCGGCGGUGGGGGAUGGACUCGCGGCUUAUCAGCUUGUUGGUGGGGUAGUGGCUUACCAAGGCUUUGACGGGUAGCCGGCCUGAGAGGGUGACCGGCCACAUUGGGACUGAGAUACGGCCCAGACUCCUACGGGAGGCAGCAGUGGGGAAUAUUGCACAAUGGGCGGAAGCCUGAUGCAGCAACGCCGCGUGCGGGAUGACGGCCUUCGGGUUGUAAACCGCUUUCGCCUGUGACGAAGCGUGAGUGACGGUAAUGGGUAAAGAAGCACCGGCUAACUACGUG
RNAcentral lists this ribosomal RNA (468 nucleotides) under uncultured bacterium. Its description in RNAcentral is "partial 16S ribosomal RNA". It matches the Rfam family "Bacterial small subunit ribosomal RNA", at positions 28 to 507 of the family's 1533-position model. The record is from RNAcentral.